GAAAGCGUCGCGCGCUAACAGCGCAACAGUGACGUGACGUACUGAUGACGCAGUAAGAAAAAUAAAAAUUAAAUGACGAACUAGCUAUAACUCAAACGACGGAAAUAGACCACAUAGACUGCAUCUAGAGUUGAAGGCGAAAUGGAGUGGUUCCAUUGUAACCAGUGUAAAGUCAAGUCACGAACCAAGUUUGCGGUCUCCAGUUGUGGACACAUCUGCUGCGAGGCCUGCAUCAAUCCUAAACAAUGCACUGUCUGUGGAGCCAACUGCAGCUAUUUGGCCAUCACAGAUAAGAUGAGGCCAGAAGAAAAGCUGUAUUUCAAGGAUCCUGCGAAGCUCUUCCGGUCACGACUGGAAAACAUUGCGCAGAUUGUCCAUUUCCAGCAGAAGCAGCAGGAAAGGUUGAUAGGCCACCUCAAAGAAAAAUGUGGACAGCUGGAACAAAGACUUAAGGACAUCGCUGAUCAGGGCUACAGGUCAUUGAUAUGGUGUUUGAGUUUCAUUUUAAAACUGAUCCCACUGUAUGUUAUGAUCAGGCAACUUAAGGAACUGAGGAGAGAGAACGAUGAUCUAAAAAAACAGCUGUCAGAGCUGAGGAGGGAGACCGCAGAGCUCAAGAAGCCUCUUUCACUCAGGAGGGUUUCCCCGGGACACUUUCAUUCAACUGGCAGUCAGAAAAUAACCCUGCCUGUUGCUGUCACUUCCCCAGUAACCCCUCAUCUAAGAAAUGGUCAUGUUUCUGGUGCUGAAGUGUCGCAGGAGUGGUAUAGAGAAAGAAGUCUCAUCGCUACUCCUGGAUCAGCCUCAUCACACUCCAGUCGCAGCUCUUUUCAUGAACAAGGGCCUGUUCUGGAAGGAACACCGACCUCCUUCAUCGCCCCUGCAAGAGUGCAGCGUCACACUCCAAAUCCUUUCCACCUUCAGUUUCAAGCAUUAUAGCUCACACUGCAGGAAAAAACUGACAUGGCAGUGAUGCCAAAGGAAACUUCAGGUGUCCUCUCCAAAGCCAAACAUCGAUAAGAUUCUACAAUGGUGUGCAACAACACGCUCCAGUGAGUUGCUUUGCAAGCCCCAUCCCGAGUCAGGUUACCUUGUGCCAGGUGGACGAUGCACCGCCCACUCAGCUCUGUUGUUUCUCCGUUGGCGAAGAUUUCUUUGCCCUGAAGAAGAAAAUCCCAGUAUUGACAUCAGGUCGUCGCAUCCUUUCAAAUCAUUUUAAAAACUUGUUUUUCACUAAUCAAUUUCACUGACAAAAACAUACUUUUUAAUGUUAGAUUCCUAUUGUACAGACAAAUCAUUUCACUAAAAUUGCACAGCAAAAAAGGGCAAACUAAAAUUAUAAAAAUAUUAUAUAUAUUUGCUUUAGAACCCCCGAACAACCUUGUUUUUGUUUUGUAUGAAUUCCUAAUCAUUCAGGUAUUUUUAAUCUUAAAAUUAGGAAAACCAAGUUGCUGUUGUGUAUAAGAAAGAGGAAGGUAGAAUAUAAAUAUAUUCUCCCUCGAGAAUCUAUUUGUGCAUAAUUUCUGUGACUUUUUGCAGUGCCGCUGUUAAUGGACAUUUUUCCUUCCCUUUCCACAUUACAGUUGAACAGCUCUCAAUUGACUGUUGUGUCGGUUAAUGAAAGUUUAAUGGGGUCAUGAGGAACCGGAUCCCAGGCUCAAUAGAGACUCACCGUCUUGUUGAUGCCCUCCAUGUUGGCCACACUUUUGUCACUCUGCAUCAGCUGAGUGACCAGCUCGGUCUGCACGGCUCCCGGCCACAGACUGACCGACACCACUCCUCUCCUCUUCAGCUCCACUGCCAUGUCUGCAGCCAAGCGGUCACACUGGAGGAGCAGUCCAAAGGAACUGAUUAUUCAACUCAUAUUCACCGGAUGAAGAAGAGGUGAGCGUCUUCCAACGGUCGGAGUCGACGGUCCGCGCUGCUGCAGCCUGCCAGGCUAAACGACGCUCACUGCGACGGCAGAGGCGUCACGUACACGAUCUGCGCCUGACUAACACGCAUGCGCAGGACUCGAACCACUGGCUCCACAGCCGAAGCUGACAUUCAAAUAUGUUUGGCAGUCUGUCUUUCACCUGGAGAGGAUACAGAAGUCAAGACCACAUCACAGGAAACUCUUGCUUAGUACAAGCAACGGUGACGUAAAACAUCAGGUGUUAGUUAUGACCUAAAGAGAGCAUCAGUGUACAUCGAAAGUCAGUUAUGCAGGCCUUUGAAGGACAUGCUUUCCUGAGGGGUGAACAACAAUACAGCAGUACCUCGGUUUUCGAACGUCCCAGACUUCGAACAAAUCGGAGUUCAAACAAAAAUUUUGACAUUUUUUUGCUUCGGAUUUCAAACAAGAAUGCACGGACCAAUCCACUGACCCACGACGCGCUUUGUUAUUGUGUAUAGCGCAGCCUCUGUAAGCAGACGUGUCCCGUUAGCUACAUUUACUGACUGUUUUUUCUUCAUAUUGAGGUGUAAAACCUUUCCUGUCUCCGCACUGGACCGUGGUAGAGUGUCACAGUGGAGGAGCUCGCUCUCCACACCUCCGAGGCUGGAGCGCUCACUCCAGGGUUUGAUGUCCUGUUGUGGGCUGGAGCUGGGACAGGGAUGAGGCGAGUCUGGGACAGAGUGUGACUUGGUUUAUGACUUUGUCACAGCCAAACUGCACAGAAGCGCACAUUCAGAGCU
Synchiropus splendidus (mandarinfish) is the source of this 2676-nucleotide RNA transcript. It is a transcript of the gene named RING finger protein 212B-like, with no coding region annotated. The transcript is spliced from 17 exons. The record is from RefSeq and is a predicted model, not a curated record. Lineage: Eukaryota; Metazoa; Chordata; Actinopteri; Syngnathiformes; Callionymidae.